ACCGUGUCUAGCGUAAAUGACAAAAAACUUUAUAAUUGAUAUCUGAUAUUUCAAAGUCGAUUCCUAAUUGAUUCAUAUUUUCGGCUAAGUUUAUUUCUAAAAUGAAAUAAACGAAACAGAGAGUAUGCUACUUAAUUAUCUCUCAAAAAAAAAAACAUAGGGACAAUUGUUUAUGUAUGCCUGAAAAACUUUUAGCUAUCUCUCCACAAUCUCAAACGAACCCUUCGAAGGCUAAUAUUAAAAAUAUAAUUUUAAAAAUUUUUAAAGUUUUUCAAAUAUACUCCUAUAGUUAAAUUUUGUUAGUGAACAAUUAGGAACAGUCGUUAUCUCUAUAAAAUUAUCAUUUUACUUUUUUAAAUAUAUAUUUUCUAUCGUCAGUAACUUUUCUUAUUUAUCCUUAAGUCAAGGGUAAAAAAUGUAUUUUGACUUUUUGGCUUUUUGCCUUAAUUUUCAAAUAUAUUCUUUUACGGUAAAAAUUUAACUCAGGUUUAACCCGAGAUGAUAUGACAGGCACUAACAGUAGAAAUAUUUUUGAAUAAUAAAGAAAUACAUGAGGGUUACAUUUGAAAAUAAAAAAAAAAUAAAAAUAAAUGAGAUAUUUCAGAGAUUUUAAGAGAUAUGUAGGCAAUUAUCCAAAGUUAAAGGAUUGUAAGAAUAUA
This 659-nucleotide long non-coding RNA is filed under the name Ananas comosus (pineapple). Its description in RNAcentral is "long non-coding RNA (ACOM_LNC021844)". The record is from RNAcentral. Lineage: Eukaryota; Viridiplantae; Streptophyta; Magnoliopsida; Poales; Bromeliaceae.